AUUGAACGCUGGCGGCAGGCCUAACACAUGCAAGUCGAACGGUAGCACAGAGAGCUUGCUCUCGGGUGACGAGUGGCGGACGGGUGAGGAAUGUCUGGGAAACUGCCCGAUGGAGGGGGAUAACUACUGGAAACGGUAGCUAAUACCGCAUAACGUCGCAAGACCAAAGUGGGGGACCUUCGGGCCUCACACCAUCGGAUGUGCCCAGAUGGGAUUAGGUAGUAGGUGGGGUAAUGGCUCACCUGGGCGACGAUCCCUAGCUGGUCUGAGAGGAUGACCAGCCACACUGGAACUGAGACACGGUCCAGACUCCUACGGGAGGCAGCAGUGGGGAAUAUUGCACAAUGGGCGCAAGCCUGAUGCAGCUAUGCCGCGUGUAUGAAGAAGGCCUUCGGGUUGUAAAGUACUUUCAGCGGGGAGGAAGGCGGUGAAGUUAAUAACUUCACCGAUUGACGUUACCCGCAGAAGAAGCACCGGCUAACUCCGUGCCAGCCGCCGCCGUAA
Molecule: ribosomal RNA, 504 nt
Filed under: uncultured bacterium
Lineage: Bacteria
Description: partial 16S ribosomal RNA
Rfam family: Bacterial small subunit ribosomal RNA
Source: RNAcentral